AGGCAGUUGUGCUGGACCUUCUGUACUUUAUACAGGAGAUGACAGUAAACUUUCAAGUUUAAGAGGUGUGUUGGUGUAAAAAGUGAUGCUGACUGAACUCAGGCAG
Molecule: non-coding RNA, 106 nt
Organism: Danio rerio (zebrafish)
Lineage: Eukaryota; Metazoa; Chordata; Actinopteri; Cypriniformes; Danionidae
Source: RefSeq, a predicted model, not a curated record